Molecule: long non-coding RNA, 490 nt
Organism: Photinus pyralis (common eastern firefly)
Lineage: Eukaryota; Metazoa; Arthropoda; Insecta; Coleoptera; Lampyridae
Exons: 4
Source: RefSeq, a predicted model, not a curated record
UUUGUGCACUAUUGUUUUGGCUUCAUUGUCUAUUAAUGAAGAAGCCUUGCAAUUGACCCAAUUCAAUUAAAUAUCGCCACAGAAUAUAGAGUACGCUACGCCAUGUAAUAUCGCAAUGUGGUUCUUGCAUUCGAUUGUAUAUUUUGUGCCUAUGAAACACUUUCCGUCUUGGGCAACACGGAAACCGAGGGAGGAGAAUUAUAGUUUUCUUUUAUUUCUACUUAUUCCCAAUUUUCGCCAAGCAUCAGUAUCAGUAUCCACUCCACGUGGUUUUACAGCGUAAAGUCAAAUUCAAGCCCAAUUUAUUCCAAGGUGUGAGGUGGAUUACCUUUAAUGAAUCGUUUUCAAGAGGAAAGGAUGUUGCUGUAUGGCUCGCAUAUUUUUGUUAAACAGUUAUUGUCAACGUUACUACUAAAUUAAAUAGGUAUAGCCCUAAUGCAAUAAAAUGUUAAUUAAUUUUAAUUAAAUUUAUCCAGGUAGGCCUUUCAUA